GGCGGUUUUUUAAGUUCUGAAGGUUGAAAGCCCCCGGCUUAACCGGGGAGGGUCAUUUGGAAACUGGGGAACUUUGAGUGCAGAAGAAGGAGAGUGGAAUUCCACGUGUAGCGGUGAAAUGCGUAGAGAUGUGGAGGAACACCAGUGGCGAAGGCGACUCUCUGGUCUGUAACUGACGCUGAGGAGCGAAAGCGUGGGGAGCGAACAGGAUUAGAUACCCUGGUAGUCCACGCCGUAAACGAUGAGUGCUAAGUGUUAGGGGGUUUCCGCCCCUUAGUGCUGCAGCUAACGCAUUAAGCACUCCGCCUGGGGAGUACGGUCGCAAGACUGAAACUCAAAGGAAUUGACGGGGGCCCGCACAAGCGGUGGAGCAUGUGGUUUAAUUCGAAGCAACGCGAAGAACCUUACCAGGUCUUGACAUCCUCUGACAAUCCUAGAGAUAGGACGUCCCCUUCGGGGGCAGAGUGACAGGUGGUGCAUGGUUGUCGUCAGCUCGUGUCGUGAGAUGUUGGGUUAAGUCCCGCAACGAGCGCAACCCUUGAUCUUAGUUGCCAGCAUUCAGUUGGGCACUCUAAGGUGACUGCCGGUGACAAACCGGAGGAAGGUGGGGAUGACGUCAAAUCAUCAUGCCCCUUAUGACCUGGGCUACACACGUGCUACAAUGGACAGAACAAAGGGCAGCGAAACCGCGAGGUUAAGCCAAUCCCACAAAUCUGUUCUCAGUUCGGAUCGCAGUCUGCAACUCGACUGCGUGAAGCUGGAAUCGCUAGUAAUCGCGGAUC
Molecule: ribosomal RNA, 782 nt
Filed under: Bacillus subtilis
Lineage: Bacteria; Bacillati; Bacillota; Bacilli; Caryophanales; Bacillaceae
Description: bacterial SSU rRNA
Rfam family: Bacterial small subunit ribosomal RNA
Source: RNAcentral